UUGGAGGGCAAGUCUGGUGCCAGCAGCCGCGGUAAUUCCAGCUCCAAUAGCGUAUAUUAAAGUUGUUGCAGUUAAAAAGCUCGUAGUUGAGUUUCGGGAUCAAUACGUCGGUCGUGCCUCCGGUAUGUACUGGCGUCGUUGAUUCCUCCUUCCUGAUGAUCCGUAAUGCCAUUUAUUUGGUGUUGCGGGGAAUUUGGGCUGUUACUUUGAAAAAAUUAGAGUGUUUAAAGCAAGCUAACGCUUGAAUACAUUAGCAUGGAAUAAUGAAAUAGGACGUUCGAUUCUAUUUUGUUGGUUUCUAGGAUUGACGUAAUGAUUAAUAGGGAUAGUUGGGGGCAUUAGUAUUCAAUUGUCAGAGGUGAAAUUCUUGGAUUUAUUGAAGACUAACUACUGCGAAAGCAUUUGCCAAGGAUGUUCUCAUUAAUCAAGAACGAAAGUUAGGGGAUCGAAGACGAUCAGAUACCGUCGUAGUCUUAACCAUAAACUAUGCCGACUAGGGAUCGGAUGAUGUUAAUUUUUUAAUGACUCAUUCGGCGCCUUACGGGAAAC
RNAcentral lists this ribosomal RNA (549 nucleotides) under uncultured Glomeromycotina. RNAcentral describes it as "SSU rRNA". It matches the Rfam family "Eukaryotic small subunit ribosomal RNA", at positions 548 to 1098 of the family's 1831-position model. Lineage: Eukaryota; Fungi; Glomeromycota. The record is from RNAcentral.